RNAcentral lists this ribosomal RNA (133 nucleotides) under uncultured bacterium. Its description in RNAcentral is "partial 16S ribosomal RNA". The record is from RNAcentral.
GAGUUAGCCGGUGCUUGCUAAAGAGGUACCGUCAUUGUGUUCUUCCCUCUCCACAGUGCUUUACGACCCGAGGGCCUUCAUCACACACGCGGCGUGGCUGGAUCAGGCUUUCGCCCAUUGUCCAAUAUUCCCC